AGUGAACGCUGGCGGUAGGCCUAACACAUGCAAGUCGAACGGCAGCACAGAGAGAAGCUUGCUUCUCUUGAGAGCGGCGGACGGGUGAGUAAUGCCUAGGAAUCUGCCUGGUAGUGGGGGAUAACGUUCGGAAACGGACGCUAAUACCGCAUACGUCCUACGGGAGAAAGCAGGGGACCUUCGGGCCUUGCGCUAUCAGAUGAGCCUAGGUCGGAUUAGCUAGUUGGUGGGGUAAUGGCUCACCAAGGCGACGAUCCGUAACUGGUCUGAGAGGAUGAUCAGUCACACUGGAACUGAGACACGGUCCAGACUCCUACGGGAGGCAGCAGUGGGGAAUAUUGGACAAUGGGCGAAAGCCUGAUCCAGCCAUGCCGCGUGUGUGAAGAAGGUCUUCGGAUUGUAAAGCACUUUAAGUUGGGAGGAAGGGCAGUAAAUUAAUACUUUGCUGUUUUGACGUUACCGACAGAAUAAGCACCGGCUAACUCUGUGCCAGCCGCCGCCGUAA
RNAcentral lists this ribosomal RNA (505 nucleotides) under uncultured bacterium. RNAcentral's name for it is "partial 16S ribosomal RNA". It matches the Rfam family "Bacterial small subunit ribosomal RNA", at positions 29 to 523 of the family's 1533-position model. The record is from RNAcentral.